This 5243-nucleotide long non-coding RNA is filed under the name Sus scrofa (pig). RNAcentral's name for it is "lncRNA (ENSSSCG00000059802.1)". Lineage: Eukaryota; Metazoa; Chordata; Mammalia; Artiodactyla; Suidae. The record is from RNAcentral.
CCCUAGUCCCUUAGGCUGUCUCCACACUACCAAACCCAGCCUGCUCCCCAGGACUGACCUCUGGAGCCUAAGUCUCAGCGCUCAGCCCCCAUCAAGUGUCUCAGUCUGUGGUGUCUGUGCCAGCUGUUCAGAUGGUCUCUGCAUCUCUCACUUCCCUUUUUGGAUCUCAGACCUGCUGCUGUGCUUUUCUCAGCUUCUUGGAGUUCCCUCCAACUUGGCUGAUCUUUCCGUUGGUUAGGUGGCUUCCCAGGGUGUGGGUUUCCUUUCUCCUUCACAACUCCCUUAUAGGAGUGUUAGACCCAUCCUGAUUCCUUUACUCUCUCUAUUUUUUUCUUUUGUUCUACACAGUUCUGUCAAGAGUUUCUUGCCCUUUUUUGGAGUUUAAGUUCUUCUACCAGGAUUCAGUUGAUGUUGUGUGCAAAUCAUUUUACAUGUAUAUGUAUAUUUUUGAUAUGUUUGUGGGAGAGGGUGAGCACAUCCUCUUACUCUUCUGCCAUCUUUCCAGCCCUCUCAACAACUACUUUCUUUUUCUUUUUUUUUCUUUUGCUUUUGGCUGCACCUGUGGGAUGUGAAAGCUCUCCUGGCCAGGGAUCGAACCCAUGCCACUGCAGCCACCAAGCCACUGCAGUAACAAUACCAGGUCCUUAAUCCACUGCACCACAAACAAACCCCAACAGCUACUUUCUUGAAGAGUAGUAUGGCUAGCCUAAUCCUUGUGCCAUUGAGAUCCAGUUCUAGUUUUUCUCUGCACGUUUGAACAGCUAAGCCUCCGGGAUUCUAAUGGUCCUCUCUUCCUGAGGGAAAAUAGAAAAGUUACAGAAAGGACAAUUACACCUGUGACUAGAGUUGUUCUUAAUGCUUCAGCUGACACUCAUCCUUUCUCUCCUGUACUCUCUCAUCUAGGUCAUUCUCAGAGUCAUCCCUGACUUUUUCACUCCUUAUCCUCUUAUCACCAAGGAUCUAAAUCCCUGUCCACCACAUCCUUUUCAGCUUGGGAUGGCUGCUCUUCUUUAUUUACAGUAAAAAUUGGACAUAAGAGUACCAAGAGGCAGCCAAGUGAGUCAGCUGAUCCCCCAGGUAUUUCCUCUAAUGUGAAAUUAUAGGCCUGCUUCCCCUGAUUAUCAAGAUCAAUUACUCUUUCUAAGAAAUGUUUCUUCUUCUUUUUGCCUGUUUGUCCUUUGAUACAAAUGCCCAGGUGAUAGCCACGACUUAAAAUUUAAGGUAUUACAUAAUAACCUCUAAAAAAAUGGUUCUCUCAUUAGGAAACUGGAGCUUCUAGCAUUAUGUAUAGAUGGUGGGGUUGCAGGGAUGGGAAGCACAGUGUUCCCAAAGGGGUCACUGAGAAUUACAGAAGGUAGGGCACCACUUCCCAUAUAUGUUGGUUCCAGGAUCCAUAUAUUCUCUCUAUUGGGGAAACAGUGACAUGAAGUUUGUUAGGUCAGUGGAGUUGAGAUAAAUGGAGCCUGGAGCAUUGAGAUUGUAAGCAGGUUUAUUGACCAAAAGAGUGGCCUGGACCACUGAGCAGAGAGGACUCAGUCCCCCCAUUACUGGGGCAAGGACUUUUUUAUUAUUAGGAUUUCAUUUGAUAGGUCACAUAGUCUCAAGGAAAAAAAGGGAAGGGGGCUUAGAAACAGGGAAGAAGGAUUGAGGUCAUUAAGUAGGAAUUUUAACAGUCCUUUUGGCUCUUGUUUAUUUUGAGGUUUAACAGCUCCUUCAAUUGUCUUGGUCCUGGGACCUUCAUCCCUGCUGGAGUCUGGUUUCUUCUUUGUUUGGUGUCUGGAGCCUGAGUGGAAUCUUGAUAGUAUGGUUGUGUUAUAUCCUCCUUUUGGUAUUCUCCCUCCAGCUUAUAGAUACCACCUAACAAAGAUCUUUGCUACAGAAUAUCUAUGCAUCCUGUGCAUUCUUAUAAAAGUACUCCCUCUGAGCUGGUGGUUCAGCUGUGAUUUCAGUAGGCUAGUACAGUGUUCUGUCAGUCAACUGAUUUGGGGUAAUUCUAUGUGUGAUGAUAUAUGGCCAGCGGACCCCACGAUCAUGUGUUCUCUCACAUAUCUCCUUUGCUUCCAAAUACCUGCCUUAUCUAAAGUGAUAUUAUCUGGGAUCUGAUUCUAAUGGAUCAAAUACACAGUGAAUCCUCAGACAUUAGUGCUGCCUAAAAGCCUUAAAGGUCAUGGGCAAUUGUAUCUCUUCAUGAGAAAUAAAACCUCCAGCUCUUCCAGAUCUGAUAAGGGUCCUACGUAAACAACUUGGCAUCAAGUGACUGAUUAGUCACUUCAAGGAUAAGUUCCAUUAUCAGAGGGGCAACACUGGCCUCUGCGGCUAGUAGAUUAGGCAUUUGACAGCAUCAGUAUUAAAUUAUCUUCAGAAAUAUGGUUCAUGCUCUUAGGCCAGUGCAUAGUUUCAAUCACCACCACUGUUCAAUUGGUUCAUUUUUCCAUUGUGCUUCCACCCAACUGGACACUGAUAGUGUGUCUGAAGUCACUCAGCCAGAUGAUUGUGUCUACAGAGAUGUUUAGUGUUUCUUUCAUGGCACAUGCUCCAUGAUGGACAUUAACAUGUGAUACACUGAUCUUUAUAUUUUAUGUUCAUGUCCACAUGUCUGUCCAUAUGCCAAUUUCCUAUACCUCCUCAUCUGUGACAUUCAAGUAUUUUUGCUUGGCCCCCUGACCAACGAGGCAAGCUUUUUGCCAAGUCAUUGAGUGGACAUGUAUCCUAAACUUGGGCCAGUUCUCUUUAUACCUAAGGUAGUUGGACAGAGACACUGCCUAUUGGGAAGAUUUUUCCUCACCACUCUCUUUCAAGGUCAUUUUAUUGUGGACGUUUGUUUUUCCAUCUUGCAUGCAUGUAAAGAAAGAUGACUUUAUUUUUAUAAAAUAAGCUCAAGUUUUUACUUCUUUCAGAUAGGUACAUGGGAUUCCCCAGAAGCUAUAUCCAUGGGCUGAUGGAGGGCAUUGGUGAAAGAGCAGUGAGUCCCGCAAGUCUGGGCUACCUGCUCAUAUUCCAGUUUGCUGGAAUCCUUUGAUACUAUUCAUGGUCAAUCUCAUAUGUAUCACUUCUAUCCCACAGUGGUUUGUUACCUAGCUAUAAGAUCUUAUUAUUUGAUGGGUCAGGGUCUGGGGAAUACAGUUCAUGAUGAAUAGUUCUGGGCACAUGAACUAUUGACUCGAAAUAAGGUUAGAGAGGAAAGUAGCCACCAAGUCAUAGAGAAGUCAUAAGUCAUAAAAAAGUGUUCACUGUCUUGGAAGUUUGACUAGGUAACAAUAAGAAUGGAUCCCUUUGCAGUGCUAGCAAUACAGACAUGAAAUUAAGAAACAACAAAAUAGAAUAGUAGCUAGAUCUAGUCACCACAGCAAAGUGAAUGCAUAGACAACAUUGAAAAUGAAAGAUACCAUAAAAGAGAAGGCUUGUGAUUACAUGAAGGAGAUAGAGUUAAUAAUGAGUCUCUAAAUCUACCCCAUGUCCUUUGAUAUUUUUUCCAAUCCUAAUUUUCAUGUAUUUUUAUAGUAUAAAUGUAGACUCUCCUGUUAUAAUGUGACUAUAUGGUUAGAGAUGUCCAGAUCCAAUCCAGGAGGGAGAAUUCCUACAGUUAGAGACUUAGCCCUGGAAAGGAAGGAUGAGUAAGAAAGACUGAAAAGAAACAGUCAUAGAGAUAGGAAUAAAACUGGGAGAAGUUGUUAUGACAACCAGGAGAAAAAUUUCUUAAGAUAAAAGAGAUUUAAAUGAAAAACAUAGGUCCUUAAAACAUUCAAACAAGAUUGGGGGAAGGGGGUGUCUAAAAAGUCUAACAUCACCUGAGGGAGGGGGAACUUCUAUAGAGAUGAAAGAUAGUCAAGACGGGAAUUUAUACCAUAGCCAGAAAGCUAUAGAUCCUUUCAGGAUCCAGCCAGCAUGAAGAAACCAUGGAUUAUUAAAAUGCAGUGAAAAGAAAUUGUAUAUGCAUUCUAAAAGUAAUCUAUGUUCUUUCAUGUGAGUGGAGUCAAUGGAAAAGACAACAUCAAGUAUUUAAUAAUCAUGGAUUCUGUGCCAGGCAUUUUUCAUAGCAUAGAUUUUAAGAACACAGAAUCCAGAACCAGACAAAAAUAAGGGAGAUAAAAUGCUGGUGUUACAAAUUUUAUAUCAUCCCCUAGUCAUGCCCAUUCUUUAACAGCAGGAAGAGACUUUAUUUAAAGCUUUACUAAAGAAUUAGAUGACUAAAUAGAAUGCUUAUAAUUUUGACUUAUGGUUACAUUUGAUAUGACAGGAGAUUUUUAGGAAAAGCCCUCGUGUGAUGAGGUAGUUCAGGCUUAAGCAAAUAAAUAAAACUUGCUUGCAUUUCCAUCUCAGACAUUAAGGAACUUGGAGAAAUCCCUGUGCUGACUCUGGAUCUAGUGUUCUUAUUUGUCUGAGAGGGAUCAUGACUCCUUUUCAAGACAGUUCAAACAUCAUUUAUGAAGAAUUUAUUUUAGGGAGUUCGCGUUGUGGUGCGGUGGUUAGAGAAUCCGACUAGGAACCAUGAGGUUGCGGGUUCGGUCCCUGCCCUUGCUCAGUGGGUUAACAAUCCGGUGUUGCCAUGAGCUGUGGUGUAGGUUGCAGCCGCGGCUCGGAUCCUGCGUUGCUGUGGCUCUGGUGUAGGCUGGUGACUACAGCUCCGAUUCAACCCCUAGCCUGGGAACCUCCAUAUGCUGAGGCAGUGGCCCAAGAAAUAGCAAAAAAGACAAAAAAAAAGAAUUUAUUUUAGAAAUUCAACAAUGUAUGAAAUCUAAAUAAUUAUCAUUAAGAGAAUGCAGAGAAGAUGCUAGUCCUAUGGAAAGAGGAGUGCCAGAAAUUCCUCUAAUGACAUUGUGUUUACAAUUAAGUACAGAAGGAAACCAAAGCAAAAAAGUAAAUAAAUAAUUUUUUUAAGUAAAAGCAUGUAUUAGUCAUUAAUGUUUCAUAAAAUAUUAAUGAUCCUUUUUGCUUAAUAUAUGAACCACUGUAGAAAUUUUGACAUCAUUUAAAAAAAAAAUGAGAACCUGGCAUCAAAAUCCUACCAGGUGACUGACUGUUUCUGUCAGGGCAGUAAAAAGUAGAAGACAUAAACAAAUAUUCAUGCUUCAUCAAUUAUUAUUAAAUUCAAACACUCACACACAGAGUCCACACUAUUUUCAUCAUGGCCAUAAGAAUUAAAGGACUAUUGGGAGUGGCAAAAUGGGUUAAGGAUAUUAGUUUCUUUCCUCCUCUGCCUUUGUUAUUUAGUGAAUGACAGUGAAUUAUAUUUGUUGUGCACA